AAGUCGUAACAAGGUCUCCGUUGGUGAACCAGCGGAGGGAUCAUUAAAGAGUUAUUACAACUCCCAAACCCAUGUGAACCUUACCUUUGUUGCCUCGGCAGGUCUGCAGCUUACCCUGUGAGACCCUACCCUGUAGGGACCUUACCUGGUAGUCGCAGGUAAAACUUGCCGGUGGUCUACUAAACUCUGUUUACUAUGUUAUUCUGAAUAAUUAUAACUAAAUAAGUUAAAACUUUCAACAACGGAUCUCUUGGUUCUG
Molecule: unclassified non-coding RNA, 259 nt
Filed under: Xylaria sp.
Lineage: Eukaryota; Fungi; Ascomycota; Sordariomycetes; Xylariales; Xylariaceae
Description: partial internal transcribed spacer region
Rfam family: Eukaryotic small subunit ribosomal RNA (bases 1-46)
Source: RNAcentral